GAGCGGCAAAGCUCAAUUUGAAUCUAGCACCUUCGGUGUUCGAGUUGUAAUUUGAAGAUGGUAACCUUGGGUUUGGCUCUUGUCUAUGUUCCUUGGAACAGGACGUCAUAGAGGGUGAGAAUCCCGUCUGAUGAGAUGCCCAUUCCUAUGUAAGGUGCUAUCGAAGAGUCGAUGGGUUUG
Molecule: ribosomal RNA, 180 nt
Filed under: uncultured Wickerhamomyces
Lineage: Eukaryota; Fungi; Ascomycota; Saccharomycetes; Phaffomycetales; Phaffomycetaceae
Description: partial 26S ribosomal RNA
Rfam family: Eukaryotic large subunit ribosomal RNA
Source: RNAcentral